Molecule: ribosomal RNA, 492 nt
Filed under: uncultured bacterium
Lineage: Bacteria
Description: partial 16S ribosomal RNA
Rfam family: Bacterial small subunit ribosomal RNA
Source: RNAcentral
AGUGAACGCUGGCGGUAGGCCUAACACAUGCAAGUCGAACGGCAGCACAGUAAGAGCUUGCUCUUACGGGUGGCGAGUGGCGGACGGGUGAGGAAUACAUCGGAAUCUACUUUUUCGUGGGGGAUAACGUAGGGAAACUUACGCUAAUACCGCAUACGACCUACGGGUGAAAGCAGGGGAUCUUCGGACCUUGCGCGAUUGAAUGAGCCGAUGUCGGAUUAGCUAGUUGGCGGGGUAAAGGCCCACCAAGGCGACGAUCCGUAGCUGGUCUGAGAGGAUGAUCAGCCACACUGGAACUGAGACCCGGUCCAGACUCCUACGGGAGGCAGCAGUGGGGAAUAUUGGACAAUGGGCGCAAGCCUGAUCCAGCCAUACCGCGUGGGUGAAGAAGGCCUUCGGGUUGUAAAGCCCUUUUGUUUGGAAAGAAAAGCAGCAGGUUAAUACCCCGCUGUUCUGACGGUACCCAAAGAAUAAGCACCGGCUAACUUCGUG